Molecule: long non-coding RNA, 1372 nt
Organism: Prosopis cineraria
Lineage: Eukaryota; Viridiplantae; Streptophyta; Magnoliopsida; Fabales; Fabaceae
Exons: 4
Source: RefSeq, a predicted model, not a curated record
AAGCUUGUACACUAACACAGUCCAAGUUCAGUGUAAGUCCCACAUCGGUGAGCGAAGCAGCGUGCAAAGGAAUGAGGGCCUUAUAAAAACCGAGCACGACCACAGAAAUAAUCAUACCUUUCUCGGCCUUUUGGCUAAGAUCAAGUGUAGUAUCUGUUCUUAUCAGUUUAAUAUCUGAUACGUGGGCCAUUGGCUCGCAUGAUAUUAAAUUUAUUUUUUUAGGGGCUGGGUCCAUCUCAGUGGCUUGCUGCUGGGGCCCGGAAGCGUCGCCCUUGUCUUGCACUAUUGCAUGGGCCAGGCGCACCCCACCAAGGUAGUUCUAAAUUUUCAAGUUGGCUGCAACUUAAUGAGUUAAAACUUGAGGCAGUUUUUGCUGUUUUCCGUCGUUAAUGUUUACUCUACGGGUUGAUUUGGAAGGUUUUCCACCACGACAUUGAUGAGUCCUAUUCUCUCACAAUCCCUACAAUGGAACCUCCCAAUCUCACUGCAGCUACAUCAUGGGCGGCAUCUGAGGCCUGGAGACUCCCUCAAAACUCGUAUGGGGAAAUCUGAAUCGUGUAGCCGUGGGAAGUGUAUGUUUAGGACACGCUGAUCUUCAUUCAUUAUAGACUCACAUUACAAACUUGCAUUCUUUUCCGUUGGCGGUUUCGUUCGGAACCAAAUUUGGCUGAUAAGGGGUUGUAUGUCUUCGUAUGCAAUAUUUCUCUUGUUGACGUUAGAUGGAUUGUUCAAUUUGAGCUUAUCUGAAUCGAAGUCCUUUUUCUGGCUUUCUUUUACCUAGUAUGGCAUGUCACUUCCUUUGGUGGAUUUGGGGAAUAUCAACAUCAGCAUUCAUCAGAGGCAGAGCUAAAAUCUUCAAUAUUGAAUCAGUUACCAUAGGAGCCAUAGAACUUCCAACCACUUAGAAAUACCAUCCAAAUACGAAAGACUAUAUUUGGUGUGAUGAACCGCAUACAAGUAAAAGAGGCGUGCCUCAGCUUGGAGCAGCUUCCACCAAUGAAAUGAUGAAAUCUAUUCGAAUCUCUCAGUAUGAUUGGCCGUCCAACCAUCAAGGAUACAGACUUCAUGAAAGCAUGGCAGUCAUCACAAACACAACAAUCUUUGUAUCUGGAUUAUACCCAAAUUCCCGCAAUUUUGCGAUCAGGCUGGUCAGUUCGCUAUAGAUUUUUUCCACCUCUGGAUGAGAUCGAUCUUCAGAAACAAACUUGUGAACUUCAUUUUCAAUCUCAAUCCAACUGUAUGCAGCAAACUUCUUUGCAUUAUUUCUCUUCAUUAGAGAUCUUAUGGCAGCUACAUCUUUCCAUCUCCCACAAGCAGCAUACAUGUUGGAGAUUAUGAUAUAUGGUCCAGCAUUAAGCGGAUCCAAUUCAAA